ACGUAGGGUGCAGGCGUUAAUCGGAAUUACUGGGCGUAAAGCGUGCGCAGGCGGUUUGCUAAGACGGAUGUGAAAUCCCCGGGCUCAACCUGGGAACUGCAUUCGUGACUGCAUCGCUGGAGUGCGGCAGAGGGGGAUGGAAUUCCGCGUGUAGCAGUGAAAUGCGUAGAUAUGCGGAGGAACACCGAUGGCGAAGGCAAUCCCCUGGGCCUGCACUGACGCUCAUGCACGAAAGCGUGGGGAGCAAACAGGA
Molecule: ribosomal RNA, 253 nt
Filed under: uncultured prokaryote
Description: partial 16S ribosomal RNA
Rfam family: Bacterial small subunit ribosomal RNA
Source: RNAcentral